Non-coding RNA from Ustulina deusta, 115 nucleotides. Lineage: Eukaryota; Fungi; Ascomycota; Sordariomycetes; Xylariales; Xylariaceae. The record is from the annotation of a GenBank genome assembly.
GGCAAGAUGGCCGAGCGGUUAAGGCGGAAGACUCAAGAUACUUGUAUCCUUACCUGUAAAAACAGGUUGUAUUCUUCUGGGGCAACCCGCGCGAGUUCGAAUCUCGUUCUUGUCA